GAUGAACGCUAGCGGCAGGCCUAACACAUGCAAGUCGAGGGAGGAGCUUUCGGGCUUCGACCGGCGUACGGGUGCGUAACGCGUAUACAAUCUGCCUUUCACAUAGGGAUAGCCCGAAGAAAUUUGGAUUAAUACCUAAUGGUAUAUAGAGGUGGCAUCACCUUUAUAUUAAAGCUGGGGCGGUGAAAGAUGAGUAUGCGUUCUAUUAGCUAGUUGGAGAGGUAACGGCUCCCCAAGGCGACGAUAGAUAGGGGUUCUGAGAGGGAUAUCCCCCACACUGGUACUGAGAUACGGACCAGACUCCUACGGGAGGCAGCAGUGAGGAAUAUUGGACAAUGGUCGGAAGACUGAUCCAGCCAUGCCGCGUGCAGGAAGACGGCCUUAUGGGUUGUAAACUGCUUUUGCAGGGGAAGAAUAAGGACUACGCGUAGUUUGAUGACGGUACUCUGCGAAUAAGCAUCGGCUAACUCCGUG
RNAcentral lists this ribosomal RNA (474 nucleotides) under uncultured bacterium. RNAcentral's name for it is "partial 16S ribosomal RNA". It matches the Rfam family "Bacterial small subunit ribosomal RNA", at positions 28 to 507 of the family's 1533-position model. The record is from RNAcentral.